UGCGGGGUGGAGCAGUUUGGUCAGCUCGUGGGGUUCAUAUCCCCAAGGUCGCAAGUUCGAAUCUUGCCCCCGCAA
RNAcentral lists this transfer RNA (75 nucleotides) under marine sediment metagenome. RNAcentral describes it as "tRNA-Met". It matches the Rfam family "tRNA". From Rfam's summary of the family: Transfer RNA (tRNA) molecules are approximately 80 nucleotides in length. The record is from RNAcentral.